CUCACAUUUCUUUAGACUGUAUCUGUUUAUCCGUAAAUGAUAGUUUCUGAUGCUCAUCAUUUAUGUUUUCUGCUUGUCCUCUACGCAGGUAUCCUGGGAUGCCAGAGGAGGACUUUUUAAAAGCUUGCCCUGUAUGUCGUAACGUUUGCAACUGCAUAGCAUGUUUGCGGUUAGAUGGAUUAGCGAAACAUUUUUUGAAUGUCGAGGUGAAGUUCAGCGAUGAAGAAAAACUCGAGUACUCUAAGCACAUUGUACGAGCACUUUUGCCUGCUCUGGAAUAAUUUAAUACCGAGCAAAUGAUUGAAAAGCAGAUUGAGUGCCAGAUUCAAGAUUCAGACGUUAAUAUAAAGAAAGCAGAAUACGAGAAGGACGAGUGCAUUUAUUGCAACUAUUGCAGUGCUUUUAUUGUUGAUUUUCACCGGAGUUGUUCAAGAUGUUCGUAUGAACUUUGCCUUACUUGUUGCAAAGAAUUAAGGAAUGGCAAACUGCAAGCAGAU
Capsicum annuum is the source of this 497-nucleotide long non-coding RNA. RefSeq lists it as uncharacterized. Lineage: Eukaryota; Viridiplantae; Streptophyta; Magnoliopsida; Solanales; Solanaceae. The record is from RefSeq and is a predicted model, not a curated record. The transcript is spliced from 4 exons.